RNAcentral lists this ribosomal RNA (253 nucleotides) under uncultured bacterium. RNAcentral's name for it is "partial 16S ribosomal RNA". It matches the Rfam family "Bacterial small subunit ribosomal RNA", at positions 524 to 776 of the family's 1533-position model. The record is from RNAcentral.
UACGUAGGGAGCAAGCGUUGUCCGGAAUCAUUGGGCGUAAAGAGCGUGUAGGCGGCCCGGUAAGUCGGUUGUGAAAGUCAAGGGCUCAACCCUUGAAUGCCGACCGAUACUGUCGGGCUAGAGUCCGGAAGAGGCGAGUGGAAUUCCUGGUGUAGCGGUGAAAUGCGCAGAUAUCAGGAGGAACACCGAUGGCGAAGGCAGCUCGCUGGGACGGUACUGACGCUGAGACGCGAAAGCGUGGGGAGCAAACAGG